GGGAAAGAGGUGGCAUCGGCGGUUCAAGACUGAGUUUUCUAUCUCUUCAGUGCCUCUUUCAACAAUGAAGAUCAAACCAGGUUUUGUGCAAAUAUCUGCUGAGUGAACUACUUAUUUGAAAAUACAUCAUUGGUUAAUAUUCCCUUUUGCUCAUUGAAAUCUCAAAGACUACAGACCCCGCACAAGACAUUCUGACAUUCCCGUCUUUGAAAUGAAUGACAGCAAUGAUAAAUAUGGCUCACCUCCAGAGAUACAGAUCUCACAACUUCAUAUUUUUAAUAUAAAUUAUUAAUCUGAGGUGUGGUGCAAUUCCAUUAGAUGAAAGAGAUCUACACAUUCAGAAGCACAUGAUUCUUCCCCCUUCCAUGAUUCCAGUGGCCAAUAGACAAACUACAAUAAAGCCAUGCCCUGACUGGAUGUGCCUAACAUUUGUCUGGUGCUUAAAGGAGUUGGCUGCAUGCGUGGAAAUGUUGGAAAGUCACCAAAAAUAGUUCUCCAAGUCAGAAGCGGUGCAAAAGCUGCCUCAGCUCUUGGUGGAUUUUCAAUUUCUCCCAGCCAUCUCUGUUUCGCUAAAGGUUUCUGAAGACAGUGGAUAAUGAAGAUAUUAUACCAUUAUAUGCUCUUGAAUCUGUCUCAUUGUGACUUGGCGAAGAGGCAGUGAAUCUGCCAAAAAGAAGUAGAGCAGCUGUGAAGAUGCCAACACAAUUGAGUACUCUUUCUCUACAUAUUUCUAAAUAUGGCAAUUUAUUGGACACUUAUGAGCAUGGAAUGACAAUGGGGUCAAUUUAACCAUACGGCAAUGCUGAGACACCUUCAUUAUGACCUUUCCCUGGUAUAAGUUAUGUGAUAAUGAAUGCAUGUUUAGUCACACACUGUAGGUACAGAUGGGAAAAAAGAAAGCAUAAAAUAUAAAACAUGAUGUCCAGGUUUCAAAUAAGAAUUCUAAAAUGUUAUUUAAUUAAUGAAAUGAAAAUACUUUACUUUAGAAAAAGAAUAUUGAAUCUCUUUGAUGUAUAAAAUGUAUAUUUCAAAUUAAAAAUUCAAAAGAAACAAA
This 1054-nucleotide long non-coding RNA is filed under the name Homo sapiens (human). RNAcentral's name for it is "long intergenic non-protein coding RNA 1192". Lineage: Eukaryota; Metazoa; Chordata; Mammalia; Primates; Hominidae. The record is from RNAcentral.